This 231-nucleotide ribosomal RNA is filed under the name uncultured bacterium. RNAcentral's name for it is "partial 16S ribosomal RNA". It matches the Rfam family "Bacterial small subunit ribosomal RNA", at positions 524 to 754 of the family's 1533-position model. The record is from RNAcentral.
UACGAAGGAUGCGAGCGUUAUCCGGAUUUAUUGGGUUAAAGGGUGCGUAGGCGGCCUUAUAAGUCAGUGGUGAAAUCCUAUCGCUUAACGAUAGACGUGCCAUUGAUACUGUAGGGCUUGAGUACAGAUGCCGUUGGCGGAAUGUGUCAUGUAGCGGUGAAAUGCAUAGAUAUGACACAGAACACCGAUUGCGAAGGCAGCUGACGAAACUGUAACUGACGCUGAUGCAAC